GGUUUCCGGUUUGGGUGUGGCCGCAUGGCGUGCUGUGGUGCAGGUGGCCGAAGGGGGCGUUACUGUUGCGACUGGCAUCCGCAUCCGGCAGAUGUAGAUGGAACCAAAGUCCAGAAGUUACGCGUCACCCUUGCUCUACAGCCAAACAUGCAGGACUCUAGUAACCCGCGAAAUGAUGGGAUAGCGUUGCAAAUCCUUAAAAGAGUCUUAACGGAGAAGGGAAAAUGUUACAUUGUCAAAGUCCCAAAGCCUUUCAGCCUGAAGCCAGGAACAAUUGUUCAAAGUUUCUUUGGAACAUCAAGGAAGGAAAUCCAGAUUUUACUUUAAGUGCAAUGGGGAGUCAUUAAGGAUUUUGUGUAGAUACAGCAAAAAGACAACAAUCUUCAAGCCACAAUGGCCCUCACCAGAACCCAGCCAUGUGGUCAGCCUGAUCUCGGACUUCACAGCCAGCAGAACUGUGAGAAUUAAAUCUUAUGUUUAAAUCACCUA
Long non-coding RNA from Homo sapiens (human), 489 nucleotides. Ensembl annotates it as UBA6 divergent transcript. Its record names the gene UBA6-DT. The record is from Ensembl. Lineage: Eukaryota; Metazoa; Chordata; Mammalia; Primates; Hominidae.